GAAGGUGGCCUGUGAGGGUUGCUGGAGGUAUCAGAAGUGCGAAUGCUGACAUAAGUAACGAUAAAGCGGGUGAAAAGCCCGCUCGCCGGAAGACCAAGGGUUCCUGUCCAACGUUAAUCGGGGCAGGGUGAGUCGACCCCUAAGGCGAGGCCGAAAGGCGUAGUCGAUGGGAAACGGGUUAAUAUUCCCGUACUUGGUGUUACUGCGAAGGGGGGACGGAGAAGGCUAUGUUGGCCGGGCGACGGUUGUCCCGGUUUAAGCGUGUAGGUGUGUGUUCCAGGUAAAUCCGGUUCACUUUAACACUGAGGCGUGAUGACGAGGCACUACGGUGCUGAAGCAACAAAUGCCCUGCUUCCAGGAAAAGCCUCUAAGCAUCAGGUAACAUCAAAUCGUACCCCAAACCGACACAGGUGGUCAGGUAGAGAAUACCAAGGCGCUUGAGAGAACUCGGGUGAAGGAACUAGGCAAAAUGGUGCCGUAACUUCGGGAGAAGGCACGCUGACAUGUAGGUGAAGUGAUUUACUCAUGGAGCUGAAGUCAGUCGAAGAUACCAGCUGGCUGCAACUGUUUAUUAAAAACACAGCACUGUGCAAACACGAAAGUGGACGUAUACGGUGUGACGCCUGCCCGGUGCCGGAAGGUUAAUUGAUGGGGUCAGCGCAAGCGAAGCUCCUGAUCGAAGCCCCGGUAAACGGCGGCCGUAACUAUAACGGUCCUAAGGUAGCGAAAUUCCUUGUCGGGUAAGUUCCGACCUGCACGAAUGGCGUAAUGAUGGCCAGGCUGUCUCCACCCGAGACUCAGUGAAAUUGAACUCGCUGUGAAGAUGCAGUGUACCCGCGGCAAGACGGAAAGACCCCGUGAACCUUUACUAUAGCUUGACACUGAACAUUGAGCCUUGAUGUGUAGGAUAGGUGGGAGGCUUUGAAGUGUGGACGCCAGUCUGCAUGGAGCCGACCUUGAAAUACCACCCUUUAAUGUUUGAUGUUCUAACGUGGACCCGUAAUCCGGGUUGCGGACAGUGUCUGGUGGGUAGUUUGACUGGGGCGGUCUCCUCCUAAAGAGUAACGGAGGAGCACGAAGGUUGGCUAAUCCUGGUCGGACAUCAGGAGGUUAGUGCAAUGGCAUAAGCCAGCUUGACUGCGAGCGUGACGGCGCGAGCAGGUGCGAAAGCAGGUCAUAGUGAUCCGGUGGUUCUGAAUGGAAGGGCCAUCGCUCAACGGAUAAAAGGUACUCCGGGGAUAACAGGCUGAUACCGCCCAAGAGUUCAUAUCGACGGCGGUGUUUGGCACCUCGAUGUCGGCUCAUCACAUCCUGGGGCUGAAGUAGGUCCCAAGGGUAUGGCUGUUCGCCAUUUAAAGUGGUACGCGAGCUGGGUUUAGAACGUCGUGAGACAGUUCGGUCCCUAUCUGCCGUGGGCGCUGGAGAACUGAGGGGGGCUGCUCCUAGUACGAGAGGACCGGAGUGGACGCAUCACUGGUGUUCGGGUUGUCAUGCCAAUGGCACUGCCCGGUAGCUAAAUGCGGAAGAGAUAAGUGCUGAAAGCAUCUAAGCACGAAACUUGCCCCGAGAUGAGUUCUCCCUGAGACUUUA
This 1590-nucleotide ribosomal RNA is filed under the name Salmonella enterica subsp. enterica. Its description in RNAcentral is "bacterial LSU rRNA". It matches the Rfam family "Bacterial large subunit ribosomal RNA", at positions 1252 to 2824 of the family's 2925-position model. Lineage: Bacteria; Pseudomonadati; Pseudomonadota; Gammaproteobacteria; Enterobacterales; Enterobacteriaceae. The record is from RNAcentral.